RNAcentral lists this long non-coding RNA (10690 nucleotides) under Triticum aestivum (bread wheat). RNAcentral describes it as "long non-coding RNA (TAES_LNC009665)". Lineage: Eukaryota; Viridiplantae; Streptophyta; Magnoliopsida; Poales; Poaceae. The record is from RNAcentral.
CGGGGAGAGAUCCGAGAUUAGGAAUGGGAGGCUAUAUAUAGGCAUAGAGGGAGCUAGGAGAGUCCAAAUGAGGUGCGGUUUUCGCCCACACGAUCAUGAUCAAACGACCGAGACGAUGGAGCAGAGUUUGGUGGGUUUUGGGCCAAAAUGGAGGGGUGUUGGGCUGCACACACACGAGGCCUUUUCGGUCCCUCGGUUAACCAUUGGAGCAUCAAACGAAGUCCAAAUGACCCGAAACUUGACAGGCGGUCUACCGGUAAUAAACCAAGGCCGCAUGGCAAGUCUCGGUCCAAUCCGGAAAUGUUUAAUCCCCACACACGAAAGAAAGCUAGAUCUGGCCACCGGAGGAGAACGAAGCGUCGGAAUGCAAAACGGACAACGGGGAAAAUGCUCGAAUGCCUGAGAUGAACAUGUAUGCAAAUGCAAUGCGCGUGAAGACAUGAUAUGAGAUGCACGAAAACAAAAACAACACACGGAGACAAAGACCCGAACCCGAGAAUUAAAUAUAACUUAAUGCCGGAAACGGCAAGAGUUGGAGUACAAUUCGGGAAGGUUACAUAUGGGGCGUUACAACACUCCACCACUACGAAAAGAUCUCGUCCCGAGAUCUAGGACUGAAAGAACUCCGGGUACUCAGAACGGAGGUGAUCCUCGCGUUCCCAGGUAGCUUCAUGGUCGGAAUGGUGUGACCACUUGAUUUUGAGAAACUUGAUUGACUUGUUGCGAGUUUUGCGUUCAGUCUCUUCAAGGAUUGCAACUGGGUGCUCACGGUAGGAGAGAUCUUCUUAGAGCUCAAUGUCCUCGAAGUUGAUGGUGCGCUCAGGUGUCUUGAAGCACUUUCGGAAUUGUGAGACGUGGAACACAUCAUGAACAUUGGCAAAGGUUGCAGGAAGCUCGAGUUGAUAGGCGAGGUCGCCUCUCUUGCUAACGAUCUUGAAAGGCCCGGCGUAUCUGGGGGCAAGCUUCCCUUUGAUACCGAAGCAACGAGUCCCUUUCAUAGGAGAGACGCGGAGGUAGACAUGAUCUUCUAUCUCGAAGGCCAAAUCACGGUGCUUGCUGUCAUAGUAGCUCUUUUGACGAGAUUGGGUUGCUUUGAGGUUAUCACGAAUGACCUUGCACAUUUCUUCUGCCUCUGUGAUCAGGUCAUUACCCAGCAGCUGACGUUCACCGGUUUCAGACCAGUUGAGAGGUGUAGGGCACUUCCUACCAUACAGAAUUUCAAACGGGGCCUUGCCGGAACUUGCUUGGAAACUGUUGUUGUACGAGAAUUCAGCAUAAGGAAGACAAUCCUCCCACUUCAUGCCGAAGGAGAUAACACAAGCCCUGAGCAUAUCUUCAAGAAUCUGGUUGACAUGCUCGACUUGACCGCUUGUUUGAGGGUGGAAAGCAGUGCUGAAGCGAAUGUUGGUGCCCAUGGCCUUCUGAAAAGAAUCCCAAAACUUGGAGGUAAAGAUGCUGCCACGGUCUGAAGAUAUCACUUGAGGAAUACCGUGCAGAGAGACAAUUCGAGAGGUCUAGAGCUCCGCCAAUUGAGCUGCAGUGAUUGACUCUUUGAUAGGCAGGAAAUGAGCCACUUUGGUGAGCUUGUCGAUGAUAACGAAUAUAGCAUCAUUGCCACGCUUGGACUUAGGAAACCCAGUCACGAAGUCCAUUUCAAUGUGGUCAAACUUCCAUUCUGGAAUGGCGAGAGGUUGGAGGAGACCUGCUGGCCUUUGGUGUUCUGCUUUCACUCUUCUGCAGACAUCACAUUCAUUCACGAAUUGAGCGAUCUCGCGCUUCAUUCGAGUCCACCAAUAAGUUUGCUUGAGAUCUUGAUACAUCUUCGUGCUCCCAGGGUGGAUGGAGAGGAGAGAGUUGUGAGCCUCAUUCAUGAUCACUUUACGAAGUUCACCUCUGGGCACAACAAUUCGAUCCUCGAAGAAGAGAGUGUCCUUGUCAUCAAGUCGGUAGCACUUGUACUUGGACUGACUCUUUGCAAUACCAAUCUUCACCUUUUUCACCAUAGCAUCAAGAAGCUGGGCUUGGUGAAUCUGGUCUUCCAAGGUAGGAGAAACUUGAAGGUUGGUGAGGAAACCUUGAGGAACAACUUGCAGAUUAAGUUUGCGGAACGCUUCACAAAGCUCGGGUUGAUAAGGCUUGAGAAUCAGACUGUUGCAAUAUGCUUUUCUGCUCAAAGCGUCAGCAAUCACAUUAACCUUGCCUGGAGUAUACUCGAUACUCGGAUUGUACUCUUGAAUCAUUUCGACCCAUCGAGUCUGCCUGAGGUUGAGAUUAGGCUGAGUGAAGAUGUACUUGAGACUCUUGUGAUCAGUGAAAAUGUCCACUUUCCUUCCCAAGAGAAGAUGUCUCCAAGUCAACAAUGCGUGCACAACUGCCGCCAACUCGAGAUCAUGAGUGGGGUACUUCUUCUCAUUUGGCUUCAACUGGCGAGAGGUAUAAGCAACAACUUUCUUCUCUUGCAUCAGUACUGCACCGAGACCUUGAAGAGAGACAUCACAAAAGACCUCGUACGGCUUGGUUUCAUCGGGCGGAGUCAGAACUGGAGCAGUGAUCAAUUUCUCUUUCAAAGCGUUGAAAGCGAUAUCACACUCCGGAGACCAAACGUACUUGACGUGCUUCUGAAGAAGAUUUGAGAGAGGCUUCGCGAUCUUGGAGAAGUUUUCAACGAAUCUUCGGCAGUAGCUUGCGAGACCGAGGAAGCUACGGAGUUGCUUCACAUUCUGAGGAGGUUCCCAAUUAACGAUUGCAGACACCUUCUCAGGAUCCACGGAAAUGCCCUUGGCAGAGAUAAUAUGGCCAAGAUAAAGAACCUCAUCGAGCCAAAACUCACACUUGGAGAACUUGGCGUAGAAUUGAUGUUCCCUUAGCUUGUCAAGAACCAAACGCAAGUGUUUGGCAUGAUCUUCCUUGUUCUUCGAGAAAACCAGGAUAUCAUCGAGAUAGACCAAAACAAAGUCGUUGGUGUAGGGGUUGAAGAUGAAGUUCAUCAUGCGAGAGAACGUCGGAGGAGCAUUGGCGAGGCCAAAAGACAUAACAGUGUAUUCAUAUGACCCAUAGCUUGUUCUGAACGCCGUCUUUGGAAUAUCUUGCUCACGAAUGCGAAUUUGGUGAUAACCCAUACGGAGGUCAAGCUUGGAGAAUACUUGAGCACCCUUGAGUUGUUCAAACAGCUCAUUGAUGUUGGGAAGUGGAUAUUUGUUCUUGAUGGUCUUCUUGUUCAAUGGACGAUAAUCAACACAAAGUCUAUCCGUUCCAUCCUUCUUCUUCACAAAAAGAACACCACAACCCCACGGAGAAGUACUAGGCCGAAUGAGACCCAUCCUUUCUUGAACAUCAAGUUGUUUCUUCAACUCCUUCAACUCUUCGGGGCCGAGCUUGUAGGGACGUUUGCACACCGGUUCCGUACCGGGCUCAAGUUCAAUAACAAAUUCAACCGGCCGGUUUGGAGGCAUGCCUGGGAGUUCUUCAGGGAAGACAUCUUGAUACUCACAAACAACCGGAAUCUGCGAAAUAGCAUCCAAUUCACCCUUUUCAUUGAGAGAGAACAACCGGAUGGUAUUAUCCCGAGCAGCAAAGACAAUUACUUCCUCAGACGAAUGAAUCAGUUGAAUCUGCUUGGCUGCACAAUCCAGCUGAGCUUUAUGUUUAGAGAGUCAGUCCAUCCCAAGAAUAAGAUCGAUAUCAGAAUUGCCAAGAACCGUUGGAGAAGCCAAGAACUUGAAAUCGCCCAACUUGAUAGAAAUAUCCGGAGCAAUGGAGUUAGCCUGCAUGCGUUUACCAGGAGAGACGACUGCUAAUGGACUAGGCAGAAUUUGCUGAGCCAAACCAUGCCUAGAUGUGAAUGGCCUUGAAAUGAAACAAUGCGAAGCACCCCUGUCAAAAAGAACUUUUGCAGGAAUAUCAUUAACAGGGAGGUUACCCAUGAUCACAUCUGACGAAUCCUCUGCCUGAGCUGCGUUCAUCAAGUUGACCUUGGCGGACUUGGGGUUAUGCUUGACCAUAGUUGUACUUGCCGAUCUGACAGGAGGAGGAGGAGGAAGACGCCUCUGGUUGAAACACUUGUUGGCGUAGUGACCCUUCUGUUGGCACUUGUUGCACGUGACCUCUGAGAGCGGACGGUGAUACAGAGCACUCGAUCUUGGAGCUUGAGACGAAGUCUUGUUCUGAAAGCCUGGGUUGGGUGGGUGGGAUGAACCACUGCCACCUUUGCUCUUCUGUUGAUACGGCUGACGGAACGGAGGAGGAGGAAGCCAAUACUUCUGCUGCUUGGCCACUUGAGUGGAGGACGAAGACGUAGUGUCUCUGACUUGCUUCCUAGAAGCAUCACACCUGAGCUGAGCAGCCUCUUGCUUCAGUGCCAUGUUGUAGAACUCAUCGUAUCUCAGCGGCUCGAAAAGGACAAGAGCGAGCUGAAUUUCUUCACGAAGACCACCCCUGAACUGAUAGAUCAUGCUCUUCUCAUCAGGAACAUCCUGCUUGGCAAAACGGGCGAGCUUCUGGAACAACUUGUUGUAGUCAUAGACAGACAAAGAGCCUUGCUUCAGAUUGCGGAAUUCUUCACGUUUGCUUUCAGUCACACUUUGAGGAAUGUGAUGAGCGCGGAAAUCACGACGGAAAUCAUCCCAAGUGAUCAAACGUCCACCUCUGGAAUCCCGGUACUGCUGAAACCACUCUGCGGCCUGAUCCUUGAGCUGGAAAGACGCGAACUUAACGAAAUCUUCAGGUCUGACGUUGCUACAUUCAAAAUGCUUGCCCAGAUCGACUAACCAAUCAUCAGCAUCGGUAGCCUCAACGCAGUUGCUGAACGUCUUUGGACCAUUUGCGAGGAACUGAUUCAGAGUUGCAAAUUGGUUCUGGUUGUUGCCUUGAUUUCCUUGACUGCUUUGAUUCCGCUCUUGGAUGAUUUGCAUGAUCAGCUGAGUAUUUGCAUUAGUAGCAGCCAUCACAGCUUGCCAUGCUUUCGGAGGAGGCGGAGGUGGCGGAGGAUCAGGGUUCGGAGUCGUGCGCGUUGGAGGAGCCAUCCUGAAGAGGUUGACCACCAUUAGCACACAAAUAGAGAAAUAUUGAAGGUGAAUCCAACGGAAUGAAAAUUGCAACAUAAAGUCUUCACAUCCGAACAAAAUGAACGAAUGCACUUCUCUUGAAGUGGUCACAUAUUCCUAAAUUGCGAAGCCACGAAGAAUCAGGUAGAAGAGGUACAUCAACAAGGGAUGGAAUCAACAUAUGACAUCGAAGAAGAAUGAAUACCACAACUCGAAAUAAAACCAAGGGUUGGCUUGCGGAAUAAGCCGGAACAAACACAUGAUAGAAAUUUCGUCCGAAGUGUUCGUGGUAGGACCUACACGGGCUCGACCGUACAGCACCAUCAUGUACAAGGCAGUGCACAUGACAUACGAAGCGUCCCCGAGUCAGCAUAGCCAAGGACUCUUUAAGACACAACGAGACCACUGUAAAAUCGACCGUGAAUAGGCGAACCACUAGACGUCGAACCCCAAUUUCAUAUCAUACAUCUGUCGGAAAGAUAUCCUAAGGCUACUUGAAUUCCCACCUAUGAAAACUCCCGAAACUUUCCGGUUAUGCAAUCAGGUGUUGGGGAUACAGGGGAAGCAUAAUAUCUCACCCAAGCUAGCAAAUCCUACAUCCAGCUGCAUCCAUCCUUCAACACAUAACCAAGAAACCUUCGGAAACCAUCUAUCUCAACCUUCGAAAAACAUCCGUUAUACAAGUUAUGGCGAUACUCCCGAACUCCCGCCCCAGUACUGGGUGGCGUCGAGGUUAUCUCACCAACGAACUGCAUAAAGGAGAUUUUCGAUGUCGCGCACAUAUCUCAAGUAUACCAGAAUUGCAACAAUAAAAUUAUGAUGACAACACCUCAGAGCUCAACUCCCCGGGACACUUCCACUAAACCCCUGACAGGAGGCACCCAGACAGUAUUCUCAUCAUAAGCCAUCGGAACAAAACCAAGAUACUUGCGUGAUCCUAAAAAAAAAUUUAGUGAAAUUUGAGAAGAGAAGAGUCAAAACUCUAUGUCAGGAUGCCUUACCAGAGCGAUGAGGAGACUGGGAAGUAAAAAGAAUUCCUAAGCUCUCCGAUAUAUAAUUCCUAAGGACUCAAAACAUUUUUCUAGACACAACUCGGCUGCUAGAAACGAUCAAGCAAUGGGCUCCUAAGGUCGGGGAAGGCUCUGAUUACCAACUUGUAACGCCCUCGAUGCGGCUAUGUCUCCCACGUGUCGAGGCACGACUUAGAGACAUAGGCGCAUGGAAAGCAAUGUCGCAAGUCGGGAAUCAUUACACAACCCAUGUACAUAUAUAAUAUAAAAGGGGAAUAAUAAUAUAGUUGGCUUACACUCGCCACAUCACAUCAAAGUACAUAAAUAACAUCCAUCAUACAAUCACUCAUGGCCCGACUACGGCGCCAAAAUAGAAAAGACCCCCAACAAGCGACUAAACCCUGAAUCGAACCCCGAAUAGGCACCACUACUGAUCAUCAGGAAACGACACAUAGUAACGCUGAGAGUCCUCGUCGUACUCCCACUUCAGCUCGAGCGCGCCAUCCGGAGAAGUAUCAUCGGUCCCUGCAUCUGGUGUAAUAGUAAUCUGUGAGCCACAGAGGACUCAGCAAUCUCGCACCCUCGCGAUCAAGACUAUUUAAGCUUAAUAGGUAGGAAAGGCGUAAUGUAACUGGAGCUGCAGAAAGCGACUAGCAUAUAUGGUGGCUAACCUAUUCGCAAAUGAGAGCGAGAAGAGAAGGCAAAGCACGAGCGGAAAACUAAAUAGAGCAGCCUACGCAAACAUAACUCCAACGCCGUGUCCACUUCCCAGACUCCACCGAGAAGAGGCCAUCACGGCAACACACUCAGUUGAUUCAUUUUAAUUAUUUAAGGUUCAAGUUAUCUACAACCGGACAUUAACAAAUUCCCAUCUGCCCAUAACCGCGGGCACGGCUUUCGAAAGAUCAAUCCCUGCAGGAGGGUCCCAACUUAGCCCAUAACAAGCUCUCACGGUCAACGAAGGAAUAGACCUCCACCCAGGACCCACCGAUCAGACUCGGUAUCCCGGUACAACAAGAUGAUUCGACAGGUCAAAACUAGUCCAGCAACACCGCCCGAAUGUGCCGACAAAUCCCGAUAGGAGCUGCACAUAUCUCUUUCUCAGGGCACACUCAGAUUGUCUUAGGUACGGGUAGGCCAGCCCAGAGUUGCCCCUGGUGGACACCGGCAGCUAAAUGUUGGACCAACACUCAGAGGAGCACUGACCCGGGGGGGUUAAAAUAAGAUGACCCUCGGGCUCUGGAAACCCAAGGGAAAGAAAAGGGGUAGGUGGCAAAUGGUAAAACCAAAGUUGGGCAUUGCUGGAAAAGCUUUAAUCAAGGCGAACUAUCAAGGGGUUCCCAUUAUAGCCCAACCGCGUAAGGGACGCAACAAUCCGGGAACAUAACACCGAUAUGACGGAAACUAGGGCGGCAAGAGUGGAACAAAACACUAGGCGAGAGGCCGAGCCUUCCACCCUUUACCAAGUAUAUAGAUGAGUAAAGAUAACAUAGCAAUAUAAUGAUAUCCCAACAAGUAAAUAAAUGUUCCAACAAGGGAUGGCUCCAAUCUUCACCUGCAACUAGCAACGCUAUAAGAAGGGGCUUGAGCAAAGCGGUAACAUAGCCAAUCAAUGGUUUGCUAGGACAAAGGUGGGUUAGAGGCUCAAUCAUGGCAAUUGGGAGGCUGACAAGCAAGUGGUAGGCAUCGUAGCAUUGGCAAAGCAAAAGAGCGAGCAAACUAGCAUAGCAAAGAUAGUAGUGAUUUCAAGGGUGUGAUCAUCUUGCCUGCAUAGUUGUCAGAAUUGACUGGAUCCUCAAAAGCAAACUCAACGGGCUCCUCGUUAGCGAACUCGUCUCCCGGCUCUACCCAACAACACAAACAAGCAACAAGGAUACAAUCAACCACGUACAAGGGCAACCUAUAACAUGCAAAGAUGAUAUGCUAUGCGGGAUGCGAUGCGGGUUGCAAAAUGUAAGAUGUAACAGGAAAUGCAUGAACCUGGCCUCAACUUGGAAAACCAAGUGUGCCACUGGAUAGAGGGGAAGAAAUCCCCUGAAAACGAUAUAAAGAUCAUGGCAAUCGGAGCUACGGUUUAGAAAUGGCAAGCGUUUUACUAAACGAACCGAUCUGCGAUUUACAGCAAGUAGGCUCCUAACUGCAACAAAAUGAACAUGCUACAGCCAUCAAACAUGAAAACAAAUUGCAUGGCAGUGAUGAACUCAAGAAGCUUAACAAAUCACCAGGACUGAGGCAUAGGCAAAUUCAUCCAUGAAGGGCUUCAAACAAGCAUGGCAAAACUGAAUAAGCAAAACAGAUUUCAGACUUAGCGAAAUUAACGCUAGUCUGGAAUUUCAGACCACGAUGCUCUCUUCGGAGCAGCAAAACAACAUGAAGAAUAACCUGAACAUGGCAAGUAGGAGCAUGGCAUGGAUCUACUCAAAAAGCUUAACAAAACACCCAAAAUGACCUGGGGACAAAAGGGUACACAAAAUACUCUACCGAGCACACGAACAUCGAUGAAACACAAUCAGUUUUCAGACUUAGUGAAAACUGGGACAUGCUGAAAUAGUAACUCACGGAGGCAUGUAAACGAGCUCGAUGCACUCACUGCGGUGCAAUUCAUGGCAAGGCAAUCAUAUAUCCAUUAAGAAGGCACAAAAUGCUAGCUAGACAUGGCAAGAACAAUGGCAUAGCAUGCAUGGAUCACUAGCAAUAACUCUGGCAAAAUCGCAAAAGAGUUCACGAUCUGCCCAAAACAACAACUAUCUAAAAGUUGAGCUCGAUUGAGUCAACCUCGGGUGCUCCAACAUAACAAGUAAGACAUGGAUGGAUUAAGCACAACAAGCAUAACAAAUCACCCUUAUUGAUCAUCCUCAAAAGAGGCACGGAUCACUAGGAAACAAGCUGGACAUAUAGCAUCGUGAACUAAAACAUCCCAGACUUAGUGAUUUUCACUAAGUCCCUGAAAUCAGUAAACUCAGGUACCCUACUUCGCAAGCUUGCACAAGACAACAUACACAUCCUAAAAAUGCAUGGGAGGCACCUCUGGAAAGAAGACAACAUGCUUAACAAUUCAUCCCAAAGAGGCACAGGCAUAUCAUGCACGGAUUAAACAUGGAAAAAAUGACAAAAGUCAAUGUAGGGCUAACGGAUCUGCAGAUUAACUCAUGAUGCCUCCUACCAACAGCAUUUUGGGCACCAAGAUGACCUCAAAUGCAAAUGAUGCAAUGGAAUGAAAUGAUGUACUCGUCGAGGCGAAGAUUUUGACAUAUCAUAUGCCCAAAUCGGAGCUACGGAUGCAAAGAUAUGGCAGGUCAAAGGAAGCAUAAAAUUCUGGAAAAAGAGGAGGGAAGUCAACCCUAAAAAUUCCAGAUCUGGAUCUGGUGCGGGUUACUGUUCAUGGCACUGUUCACUGGCGCGUUUCCCGAGGAUGGCCGGCGCCAUGGUUCGCCGGAGGUGGCCGGAGUGAGGGGAGGAGGCCGGCGAGGCGGGGUCGACGCGGCCGCGGCGGGCACGGGCGCCGAGGACGGAGGGAAGCGACGGCGGGGUCGGCGAGGCGGCGGACGUGGCGGAGAGGUGGCGCGGGCGGCGCUUGCCGGCGAGGCGGCACGGCAAGGGCGCGCGGUGGUCGGGGUUGGAGGAGAAGGGCGGCGCGGCGUCCCUCNNNNNNNNNNNNNNNNNNNNNNNNNNNNNNNNNNNNNNNNNNNNNNNNNNNNNNNNNNNNNNNNNNNNNNNNNNNNNNNNNNNNNNNNNNNNNNNNNNNNNNNNNNNNNNNNNNNNNNNNNNNNNNNNNNNNNNNNNNNNNNNNNNNNNNNNNNNNNNNNNNNNNNNNNNNNNNNNNNNNNNNNNNNNNNNNNNNNNNNNNNNNNNNNNNNNNNNNNNNNNNNNNNNNNNNNNNNNNNNNNNNNNNNNNNNNNNNNNNNNNNNNNNNNNNNNNNNNNNNNNNNNNNNNNNNNNNNNNNNNNNNNNNNNNNNNNNNNNNNNNNNNNNNNNNNNNNNNNNNNNNNNNNNNNNNNNNNNNNNNNNNNNNNNUGAGGAGGGCUGGAGAUGGGCUUCGGGCCCGGCGGCGGUGGCGAUGUGGUCCGGCGCCACGUGGCGCGGCCCGGGUGGCUGAGGCGGGCGGCGGCGGACGUGUCCGGCCGGGGCGGACGCGUCCGUCGGUGGAUCCUUUUUUUAACUAGGGUUUCGGGGAGAGAUCCGAGAUUAGGAAUGGGGGGCGAUAUAUAGGCAUAGAGGGAGCUAGGUGAGUCCAAAUGAGGUGCGGUUUUCGCCCACACGAUCGUGAUCGAACGACCGAGACGAUGGAGCAGAGUUUGGUGGGUUUUGGGCCAAAAUGGAGGGGUGUUGGGCUGCACACACACGAGGCCUUUUCGGUCCCUCGGUUAACCGUUGGAGCAUCAAACGAAGUCCAAAUGACUCAAAACUUCACAGGCGGUCUACCGGUAGUAAACCAAGGCCGCAUGGCAAGUCUCGGUCCAAUCCGGAAAUGUUUAAUCACCACACACGAAAGAAAGCUAGAAUUGGCCACCGGAGGAGAACGAAGCGCCGGAAUGCAAAACGGACAACGGGGAAAAUGCUCGAAUGCCUGAGAUGAACAUGUAUGCAAAUGCAAUGCGCGUGAAGACAUGAUAUGAGAUGCACGAAAACAAAAACAAC